Molecule: non-coding RNA, 80 nt
Organism: Paenibacillus sp. Soil787
Lineage: Bacteria; Bacillati; Bacillota; Bacilli; Caryophanales; Paenibacillaceae
Source: Rfam
AAGUUGAUGUGUGACUGGCGAAGCAUGGAUACCCAUGAGGAAGCACAUUGAUGUUACAGCCGUACGCCUGGGCAGAGGUA